Molecule: long non-coding RNA, 1256 nt
Organism: Grus americana (Whooping crane)
Lineage: Eukaryota; Metazoa; Chordata; Aves; Gruiformes; Gruidae
Exons: 3
Source: RefSeq, a predicted model, not a curated record
CAGGGAAACGUGCCGUGCGGGGAAACGGGGGCUGUGCCACCGAGCCGGCCCACCGCUCCUCGGCCACGUACCCGAAUGCGGUGCCAAAGGAUGGAGAGAACCUCCGUGGCCGUGCUCGACGCCAAGCACGCGUGCGGGAGCUUCUCGCCAGAGCAGCUCCUCUGGCUUCCAUGACAUGAAUUCUGUAUUUAACCUGGGUCAGCAAGAUCUCAAUCAGCUUCAUUUACUUCAAAAACGUGUGCCUGGAGCUGUUGGGAAAGGAUGGGCCUGUGAAAGAAGAACAGAAAAUGGGAGCUGCUAGAGCAGAGCCCCUCCGCUGUGGGACGGCGCUGCGUGUCCUCCUCUGCCAGCACGUGGUGCGGCACUGGCACACAGCUCAUCGGGCUUCAAGUUCCCCGCUGCUGAAACGUCGUGGCCCUGCGAUGCAAAGCACCGAUCUAGUGUAUCCUACCGUCACAGGUUGAAGCUUGUCCACCAUUUUGGAGGGGUAAAGUCUGGGGAGAAGGUCUCUGCUGGAAUAGGUGGUGGUUGACUGCCCCACGCUGUCUUUAGGUCUAUUCAUCCUUAUUGUCGGUCUUUCAACAGCCUGAGUGGAGCUGGCGCAAGCUCGCAUCAUGUGCUGUAUCUAAUUUGGUAGAAGCAGUCACAUGUCCAUAGUGUGAUCUGCAUCGGAUUUGUACGGCUGAGUCAUCUGGUACCAAUUCUUGCAGAGCGAAGGCUCCAUAGCUGCAGACCCUCACAUGUUCCUGGAGCUCCCGCUCCCGUCUUGGAACUCAUUUAUCACAGCCCUGCCAUAGCCCCGCUCCUCCGCCAUCUCCCCAACUCACCCGACGCCUCUUCUGUAGCUCAGGAACAUCUUUUCCCAGACACACGAGUCACCUCAUCCUGGACUCAGCAGUCCAGUAAGUCACGCAAGCUUUGUAAAUGGUUCCUGAACCGCUCACUCUUUGGCUUAGGCAGCAGAAGAAAUCAGAAGCUGCCGAUAUACCUCACUCCUUCUCCUUCGAUAAGUCCAUAACUUGGCUUCCCUUCACGCAUGGUGUCUCCACUGCCUCUUGCAAAGAGGUCGGAGAAACUUCUAUAUUUUUUUUUUACCAAGCCACUUCUUUCCCCUCUUGGCUGAAGCCCGUUGUCCUGGUCAUCAGCACACCACGCGCUGCGCCUGCGCCUGCCUCUUCCACCCGCAAGACGUAAUGAAAGACAGCCAAAGGCACAACCAUGGUUUCACAAGACAUGGAUGGAAACCGUACACUGGA